This 499-nucleotide ribosomal RNA is filed under the name uncultured bacterium. RNAcentral describes it as "bacterial SSU rRNA". It matches the Rfam family "Bacterial small subunit ribosomal RNA", at positions 38 to 507 of the family's 1533-position model. The record is from RNAcentral.
GGCGGCGUGCUUAACACAUGCAAGUCGUACGGGAACUCUUCUGCUUGCAGAAGAUAGUAAAGUGGCGCACGGGUGAGUAACGCGUGGGUAAUCUACCUCUGAAUCGGGGAUAACCCGCCGAAAGGCGAGCUAAUACCGGAUAAUAUCUUUAAAACUUAGGGUUUUUUAAGAUCAAAGGUGGUCUCUACAUGUAAGCUACUGUUUGGAGAUGAGCCCGCGUACCAUUAGCUUGUUGGUAGGGUAAUGGCCUACCAAGGCCGCGAUGGUUAGCUGGUCUGAGAGGAUGAUCAGCCACACUGGAACUGACACACGGUCCAGACUCCUACGGGAGGCAGCAGUGAGGAAUUUUGCGCAAUGGGGGAAACCCUGACGCAGCAACGCCGCGUGAGUGAUGAAGGCUUUCGGGUCGUAAAGCUCUGUCAAGUGGGAAGAACCUGCUCGAUGCUAAUACCAUAUAGCACUGACGGUACCACUAAAGGAAGCACCGGCUAACUCCGUG